RNAcentral lists this unclassified non-coding RNA (1368 nucleotides) under uncultured Neocallimastigales. Its description in RNAcentral is "partial contains internal transcribed spacer 1, 5.8S ribosomal RNA, internal transcribed spacer 2, and large subunit ribosomal RNA". The stretch from base 594 to 1368 matches the Rfam family "Eukaryotic large subunit ribosomal RNA", at positions 1 to 634 of the family's 3401-position model. Lineage: Eukaryota; Fungi; Neocallimastigomycota; Neocallimastigomycetes; Neocallimastigales. The record is from RNAcentral.
AAAAUAAUCCUACCUUUGUGAAUUUUGUUUGUUUGAAUAAUUUUUUUUUUUAAAAAAUUAUUGGAGUCUUUCCCUUUAGAGUUUGCUUUUGAGUUUGUAAAAGAAUUCGAAAACAUCUAAAGGGGAUGGUCAAUAAUUUUUUUUGAAAAAAGACAUUUUUUAAAAUUAAACUUUUUGUAUUCAUUUGUCUAAAAAUUAUUUUUUAUAAUAUAAAAACAACUUUUGACAAUGGAUCUCUUGGUUCUCGCAACGAUGAAGAACGCAGCAAAAUGCGAUAAGUAGUGUGAAUUGCAGAAUACGUGAAUCAUCGAAUCUUUGAACGCAUAUUGCACUUUUUUAGUUUACUAAAAAAGUAUGUCUGUUUGAGUAUCAGUAAAAUAUUCUCAUAAAAAUCAUUGUGUAUUUUAUGGUUAUGAGUGUUUUACAACGAUACAAGUUGUUUCACUUUAAAUUUUUUUUUAAUAUUGAAAUUUUUCUAAUUUUAAUAAUUAAAAUUGGAUAAAAUUUUCCCGUCAAAAGGAAUAACCUAAACAAUUUUAAAUGAUUAAUUUUAGCAAAAUUUCGAAAAAAGGAAAAUUUUUAUUAAAAUAACUUGAUCUCAAAUCAGAUAAGAGUACCCGCUGAACUUAAGCAUAUCAAUAAGCGGAGGAAAAGAAACUAACAAGGAUUCCCUUAGUAACGGCGAGUGAAGCGGGAAGAGCUCAAAUUUGAAAUCUUCAAGGUUUUACCUUGACGAAUUGUAGUUUAAAGAAGUGUUUUCUGCUGAGUUUUGGUAAAAGUUCUUUGGAAUAGGACAUCAUAGAGGAUGAGAAUCCCGUAUUUGACCAUUAUUUUCAGCUUUGUGAUACACUUUCAAAGAGUCGGAUUGUUUGGGAAUGCAGUCCAAAAUGGGUGGUAAAUUUCAUCUAAAGCUAAAUAUUGGCGAGAGACCGAUAGCGAACAAGUACCGUGAGGGAAAGAUGAAAAGAACUUUGAAAAGAGAGUUAAACAGUACGUGAAAUUGUCAAAAGGGAAGCGUUCGACACCAGUGUUGUUUUCUCGAAAAUCAAUUAAAAAUGGCUCGAUUUUGUAUUGCUUGAGACCUUAAAAGCUCACUGUACAUUUUUCGUGUCUUUUUUAAUGCACUUUUCGUUUAACAAGUCAACAUCAGUUUCUUUUGUUGUGAAAGGGUCAUUGGAAGGUGGCUUUCUUUUCGGAGAAAGUGUUUAUAGCCUUUGGCCUCUGCAAUCGGAGAGACUGGGGUCUGCAGCGUAGACUCUUCGGGGUUAGAUACAUUUGUGCUAAGUUAUAGCUUUUUAUAGACAACUUGUUGACUAUAAUUAGUCUUGUAGCUUACUCGCUUAUGCUAUUUUACCUACGCUUAGGAUG